Hibiscus syriacus is the source of this 118-nucleotide long non-coding RNA. RefSeq lists it as uncharacterized. The transcript has 2 exons. The record is from RefSeq and is a predicted model, not a curated record. NCBI's taxonomy places the organism in Eukaryota, Viridiplantae, Streptophyta, Magnoliopsida, Malvales, Malvaceae.
GGCUGUGACACGCUAGACCAUACAUGGCUGAGCUUGGACUGGUUGGUGAUGGCCCGAACAGCUAUCAGAUUUGGCUUGGAGGAACACCUAAUCAAACUCAAUCAGCAAGGACUUUUAU